This 780-nucleotide ribosomal RNA is filed under the name Escherichia coli. RNAcentral's name for it is "partial 23S ribosomal RNA". It matches the Rfam family "Bacterial large subunit ribosomal RNA", at positions 2048 to 2825 of the family's 2925-position model. The record is from RNAcentral. Lineage: Bacteria; Pseudomonadati; Pseudomonadota; Gammaproteobacteria; Enterobacterales; Enterobacteriaceae.
UCGCUGUGAAGAUGCAGUGUACCCGCGGCAAGACGGAAAGACCCCGUGAACCUUUACUAUAGCUUGACACUGAACAUUGAGCCUUGAUGUGUAGGAUAGGUGGGAGGCUUUGAAGUGUGGACGCCAGUCUGCAUGGAGCCGACCUUGAAAUACCACCCUUUAAUGUUUGAUGUUCUAACGUGGACCCGUGAUCCGGGUUGCGGACAGUGUCUGGUGGGUAGUUUGACUGGGGCGGUCUCCUCCUAAAGAGUAACGGAGGAGCACGAAGGUUGGCUAAUCCUGGUCGGACAUCAGGAGGUUAGUGCAAUGGCAUAAGCCAGCUUGACUGCGAGCGUGACGGCGCGAGCAGGUGCGAAAGCAGGUCAUAGUGAUCCGGUGGUUCUGAAUGGAAGGGCCAUCGCUCAACGGAUAAAAGGUACUCCGGGGAUAACAGGCUGAUACCGCCCAAGAGUUCAUAUCGACGGCGGUGUUUGGCACCUCGAUGUCGGCUCAUCACAUCCUGGGGCUGAAGUAGGUCCCAAGGGUAUGGCUGUUCGCCAUUUAAAGUGGUACGCGAGCUGGGUUUAGAACGUCGUGAGACAGUUCGGUCCCUAUCUGCCGUGGGCGCUGGAGAACUGAGGGGGGCUGCUCCUAGUACGAGAGGACCGGAGUGGACGCAUCACUGGUGUUCGGGUUGUCAUGCCAAUGGCACUGCCCGGUAGCUAAAUGCGGAAGAGAUAAGUGCUGAAAGCAUCUAAGCACGAAACUUGCCCCGAGAUGAGUUCUCCCUGACUCCUUGAG